Molecule: ribosomal RNA, 406 nt
Filed under: uncultured bacterium
Lineage: Bacteria
Description: partial 16S ribosomal RNA
Rfam family: Bacterial small subunit ribosomal RNA
Source: RNAcentral
AUUGAACGCUGGCGGCAGGCCUAACACAUGCAAGUCGAGCGAGCGGCGGACGGGUGAGUAAUGUCUGGGAAACUGCCUGAUGGAGGGGGAUAACUUCUGGAAACGGUAGCUAAUACCGCAUACCAUCAGAGCUGCCCAGAUGGGAUUCGCUAGAAGGGUGGGUAACGGCGCACCUAGGCGACGAUCCCUAGCUGGUCUGAGAGGAAGACCAGACACACUGGAACUGAGACACGGUCCAGACUCCUACGGGAGGCAGCAGUGGGGAAUGUUGCGCAAGGGGCGCAAGCCUGAUGCAGCAGUGCGGCGUGUGUGAUGAAGGCCUUCGGGUUGUAAAGCACUUUCAGCGGGGAGGCGUUACCCGCAGAGGAAGCACCGGCUAACUCCGUGCCAGCCGCCGCGGUAAUAC